RNAcentral lists this transfer RNA (70 nucleotides) under Fundulus grandis (Gulf killifish). Its description in RNAcentral is "tRNA-Pro". It matches the Rfam family "tRNA". From Rfam's summary of the family: Transfer RNA (tRNA) molecules are approximately 80 nucleotides in length. Their secondary structure includes four short double-helical elements and three loops (D, anti-codon, and T loops). The record is from RNAcentral. Lineage: Eukaryota; Metazoa; Chordata; Actinopteri; Cyprinodontiformes; Fundulidae.
CAAAGAAUAGUUUAAUGUAGAAUCCUAGCUUUGGGAGCUAGGGGCGGGGGUUAAACCCCCUCUUCUUUGA